RNAcentral lists this ribosomal RNA (857 nucleotides) under uncultured bacterium. RNAcentral's name for it is "SSU rRNA". It matches the Rfam family "Bacterial small subunit ribosomal RNA", at positions 524 to 1381 of the family's 1533-position model. The record is from RNAcentral.
UACGGAAGGUCCAAGCGUUAAUCGGAAUUACUGGGCGUAAAGCGCGCGUAGGUGGUUUAUUAAGUUGGGUGUGAAAGCCCCGGGCUCAACCUGGGAACUGCAUCCAAAACUGAUUCACUAGAGUACGAAAGAGGGAGGUAGAAUUCACAGUGUAGCGGUGGAAUGCGUAGAUAUUGUGAAGAAUAUCAAUGGCGAAGGCAGCCUCCUGGUUCUGUACUGACACUGAGGUGCGAAAGCGUGGGUAGCGAACAGGAUUAGAUACCCUGGUAGUCCACGCCGUAAACGAUGACAACUAGCUGUUGGGAAGCAAUGCUUUUCAGUGGCGCAGCUAACGUAUUAAGUUGUCCGCCUGGGGAGUACGGCCGCAAGGUUAAAACUCAAAUGAAUUGACGGGGACCCGCACAAGCGGUGGAGCAUGUGGUCUAAUUCGAUGCAACGCGAAAAACCUUACCUACUCUUGACAUCCUUGGAAUCUCUUGUAAUGAGAGAGUGCCUUUUGGAACCAAGUGACAGGUGCUGCAUGGCUGUCGUCAGCUCGUGUCGUGAGAUGUUCCGUUAAGUCGGAUAACGAGCGCAACCCUUACCCUUAUUUGCCAGCGGUUCGGCCGGGAACUAUAAGGGGACUGCCGGUGAUAAACCGGAGGAAGGUGAGGAUGACGUCAAGUCAUCAUGGCCCUUACGAGUAGGGCUACACACGUGCUACAAUGGGAAGUACAGAGGGACGCCAAAGCGUGAGCUGGAGCUAAUCUCAUAAAACUUUUCGUAGUCCGGAUUGCAGUCUGCAACUCGACUGCAUGAAGUCGGAAUCGCUAGUAAUCGCGGAUCAACACACCGCGAGUGAAUACGUUCUCGGGUCU